This is a long non-coding RNA of Dreissena polymorpha, 1664 nucleotides long. RefSeq lists it as uncharacterized. Lineage: Eukaryota; Metazoa; Mollusca; Bivalvia; Myida; Dreissenidae. The record is from RefSeq and is a predicted model, not a curated record. The transcript is spliced from 2 exons.
AUUCUAGAAAUGCAACAUUUACGCUGUAGUUGCACAGGCGCUCGAUGGCAAUGAUUCAAUGAUCGACUUUCACUUUUUAAACUACUUGGGAAGAAAUAUCAUGAAAUAACCACUCACAGUGGGAUAUUUGAUGGGCCUAAAAUGUAACUACUAAGACAAGUAACAAUGCAUUAAAAAUCUUACUUCCAAUUUUCUGAAUAGUAUAUUAAUGAACCGCAUCACAGGAAAGGGGACCUUAAAGAUGAAACUUGUUCUAGAUUUAGACCUCGCCGUCAUGUGUCACUAUAUAUUUCAACUUGUUAUGGUAUGUAGUAUGUUAAUAUAUACAAUUUUCUAUUGUUAUUCCACAUUUCCAAGUUUCCUUUUUCAUGUGAUUGUGACCAGUUUGGAUCCAGAUCAGUGUGCACUUGAAAGCUCAGUCUGAUCAGGAUCCAAACUUGUUUAUUAACAUCUGAACAAGUACUGACUAUAUAGUGAACAGUUUGGAUUCUGAUGAGACUGAGCGUUCAAAUGCAGACCUAUCGCCGUGGCCUAGUGGAUAAGGCGUCCGCCUCAGAAUCAGGAGGUCGAAGGUUCGAGCCCCAUGGGGAGCGUUUGUCGAAGGAUGGAUGUUUGUCAUGGGACUUGUUCCGAUAUGGCCAGCUCGUGAGCUGCGAGCGUUAAACAUGAAUGGUUACCAACUUCUAUCUGCCUGUCGCCUGGCAUUGUGAUAGGAGUUGGGAGUUACAUGGUAUACAAGCAAAGGUGUCUCAUAAGCUGGCCCUUUCAAUAGGGGUGACACUAUAAUAAAAAAGGCCUUUGCCUUUGCAGGCUGAUCUGGGUCUGAACUGGUGGAAAAAGCCUUAAGGUCCCUGUUUGACACAGCUGAUUUUUACAUUUUAGGCUGAGUCUUUGUUUACAAUUUGAUAAUGUUAAUAAAAAGUAUUCUGAUGUAGUUUAAAAGGAAAAUCUACAUGCAUAAUUGUUACGAUACAUAAUACAUAAUACUGUACUUGGAAUUUUUUUAUGCCCCCGGAUCGAAUGAUCGGCGGUAUAUUGUUUUGGGCCUUUAUGUCUGUCAAUCUUUUACUCUGUCAUUCUGUCACAAAACUUUAACCUUACAGUAAAGUUUUGCAAUUACUUUUGAAAUAUUGAACAUAGCAACUUGAUAUUUGGCAUGCAUGUGUAUCUCAUGGAGCUGCACAUUUUGAGUGGUGAAAGGUCAAGGUCAUCCUUCAAGGUCAAAGGUCAACAACAAAAAAAGCAGCACAUUAGAGGCAUUGUGUUUCUGACAAACACAUCUUUUGUUUUAUUUUUUAAAGUAAAAUAUACCCAAUUGACCUUUAAAUCAUCCACUGUUAGGUUUAAAAUACUCAAAAACACAUUCCUUGAUCAUGUUGAUAAAUAAAUACAGAAGGAACCAAAAUGCCUUGAAAGAGGAGGUCAAAUUCAAAGAUUUGUUCUCUCAAUUUUGUCAAAAAAAACAGCUGGGGUGGGGGGCAAAAAAAUAAGGUAGGUAGGGGUAGUGGAAACAAGCAAUUUAUAUAUAUAUAAUUAGUAUUAAAUAUUAUAAAAAGUGUCCUGUGUGUGAUAUAUUUUGUCGAGAUGGAGAGGAUGCAAUAUGUACUGUUUGCCUACCUAAAAUUGCAUGUAUGUUUUGUAAAAAUAAAAUCUAACUAUAAAGA